This 468-nucleotide ribosomal RNA is filed under the name uncultured bacterium. RNAcentral's name for it is "partial 16S ribosomal RNA". It matches the Rfam family "Bacterial small subunit ribosomal RNA", at positions 28 to 507 of the family's 1533-position model. The record is from RNAcentral.
GACGAACGCUGGCGGCGUGCUUAACACAUGCAAGUCGAACGGAAAGGCCCUGCUUUUGUGGGGUGCUCGAGUGGCGAACGGGUGAGUAACACGUGAGUAACCUGCCCUUGACUUUGGGAUAACUUCAGGAAACUGGGGCUAAUACCGGAUAGGAGCACCUGCUGCAUGGUGGGGGUUGGAAAGUUUCGGCGGUUGGGGAUGGACUCGCGGCUUAUCAGCUUGUUGGUGGGGUAGUGGCUUACCAAGGCUUUGACGGGUAGCCGGCCUGAGAGGUUGAACGGCCACAUUGGGACUGAGAGACGGCCCAGACGCCUACGGGACGCAGCAGUCGGGAAUAUUGCACAAUGGGCGGAAGCCUGAUGCAGCAACGCCGCGUGCGGGAUGACGGCCUUCGGGUUGUAAACCGCUUUCGCAUGUGACGAAGCGUGAGUGACGGUAAUGGGUAAAGAAGCACCGGCUAACUACGUG